UGGGGAAUAUUGCACAAUGGGCGCAAGCCUGAUGCAGCCAUGCCGCGUGUAUGAAGAAGGCCUUCGGGUUGUAAAGUACUUUCAGUCGGGAGGAAGGUGUCAAGGUUAAUAACCUUGGCAAUUGACGUUACCGACAGAAGAAGCACCGGCUAACUCCGUGCCAGCAGCCGCGGUAAUACGGAGGGUGCAAGCGUUAAUCGGAAUUACUGGGCGUAAAGCGCACGCAGGCGGUUGAUUGAGUCAGAUGUGAAAUCCCCGGGCUUAACCCGGGAAUUGCAUCUGAUACUGGUCAGCUAGAGUCUUGUAGAGGGGGGUAGAAUUCCAUGUGUAGCGAUGAAAUGCGUAGAGAUGUGGAGGAAUACCGGUGGCGAAGGCGGCCCCCUGGACGAAGACUGACGCUCAGGUGCGAAAGCGUGGGGAGCAAACAGG
RNAcentral lists this ribosomal RNA (429 nucleotides) under Chloroflexota bacterium. Its description in RNAcentral is "Chloroflexi bacterium partial 16S ribosomal RNA". It matches the Rfam family "Bacterial small subunit ribosomal RNA", at positions 355 to 776 of the family's 1533-position model. The record is from RNAcentral. Lineage: Bacteria; Bacillati; Chloroflexota.